RNAcentral lists this long non-coding RNA (1005 nucleotides) under Homo sapiens (human). RNAcentral's name for it is "non-protein coding lnc-COA3-5:1". Lineage: Eukaryota; Metazoa; Chordata; Mammalia; Primates; Hominidae. The record is from RNAcentral.
AGUGGCUCAGGCCUGUAAUCCCAGCACUUUGGGAGGCCAAGGCAGGCGGAUCACUUGAGGUCAAGAGUCCGAGAGCUGCCUGGGCAACAUGGCGAAACUCCUUCUCUACAAAAAUACAAGAAUUAGCUGGGCGUGGUGGUGGGUGCCUGUAAUCCCAGCUAUUCAGGGGGUUGAGGCACGAGAAUCGCUUGAACCUGGGAGGUGGAAGUUGCAGUGAGCCGACAUGCACCACUGCAUUGCAGCAUGGGUGACAGAGCAAGACUCCAUCUCAAAAAAGAAAAAAAAAAGGGAGAGAGAAGUACUUAAAAACGCACAUACAUAAUAGGAGAAAGGACUAUCUAUAAAACUGUAAUAAUGCUAUCAUUGUCAAGGUUUAUGCUUAUUGUUGUGUGUCACAAACAUAAUGAAUCAACUCCAAAGGCAGGGAUAUAUGUUUUAUUCAUUGAUGUACCCCAAACACCUAAAAUGGUAACACAUAGUAGAUACUACUAUUAAGUAUAAUAGUAGGUGCUCAACAUAUAUUUGUGGAAUAAAUAGUGGGGAAAUUUCUGGCACUGGGAGUCAGGUGAUCCGGAUGCUAGUAUUGUCAGUAACUGGCAGAGUACUUGUAUGCUAAUCGUGGAACUUGAUGCUAAGGCCCAGCUUAAAAUUCCUUAAAGUGUAAAUGACUUCUUCAUUAUGAUGGUUACAUUAGUGCCCUUUGAAACAGCACUAGAGGCUGGGCUGAUGGCUUACACCUAUAAGCCCAGCACUUUGGGAGGCUGAGGCUGUUGGAUCACCUGAGGUCGGGGAGUUCAAAACCAGCCUGGCCAAUAUGGUGAAACCCCAUCUCUACUAAAAAUACAAAAAAUUAGCCAGACGUGGUGGCGGACACCUAUAAUUCUAGCUCUUGGGAGACAGAGGUGGGAGAAUCGCUUGAACUUGGGAGUGGGAAGUUGCAGUGAGCUGAGAUUGCACCACUGCACUCCAGCCUGGGCACGAAAGAGUGAGACUCUGUCUUGGGAA